Molecule: small nuclear RNA, 99 nt
Organism: Camelus dromedarius (Arabian camel)
Lineage: Eukaryota; Metazoa; Chordata; Mammalia; Artiodactyla; Camelidae
Source: Ensembl
GCUCGGUUUGGCAACCACAUACUAACAUUGGAACAAUCAGAGAUUCGCACGACACCUGCACAAGGAUGACACAUGCAUUGUAAAUAAUUCCACAUUUAA